GACGAACGCUGGCGGCGUGCUUAACACAUGCAAGUCGAACGGAAAGGCCUCUUUCGGGGGGUACUCGAGUGGCGAACGGGUGAGUAACACGUGAGUAACCUGCCCUUGACUUUGGGAUAACUUCAGGAAACUGGGGCUAAUACCGGAUAGGAGCUCCUGCUGCAUGGUGGGGGUUGGAAAGUUUCGGCGGUUGGGGAUGGACUCGCGGCUUAUCAGCUUGUUGGUGGGGUAGUGGCUUACCAAGGCUUUGACGGGUAGCCGGCCGGGGAGGGUGACCGGCCACAUUGGGACUGAGAUACGGCCCAGACUCCUACGGGAGGCAGCAGUGGGGAAUAUUGCACAAUGGGUGGAAGCCUGAUGCAGCAACGCCGUGUGCGGGAUGACGGCCUUCAGGUUGUAAACCGCUUUCGCUCAUGACGAAGCUUUGUGUGACGGUAGUGGGUAAAGAAGCACCGGCUAACUACGUG
Molecule: ribosomal RNA, 467 nt
Filed under: uncultured bacterium
Lineage: Bacteria
Description: partial 16S ribosomal RNA
Rfam family: Bacterial small subunit ribosomal RNA
Source: RNAcentral